GACGGAGGGGGCUAGCGUUGUUCGGAAUUACUGGGCGUAAAGAGCGUGUAGGUGGUUUAAUAAGUUGGAAGUGAAAGCCCGGGGCUUAACCUCGGAAUUGCUUUCAAAACUGUUAGACUAGAGUGUAGUAGGGGAUGAUGGAAUUCCUAGUGUAGAGGUGAAAUUCUUAGAUAUUAGGAGGAACACCGGUGGCGAAAGGGAUCAUCUGGGCUACAACUGGAACUGAGACGCGAAAGCGUGGGGAGCAAACAGG
RNAcentral lists this ribosomal RNA (253 nucleotides) under uncultured bacterium. RNAcentral describes it as "partial 16S ribosomal RNA". It matches the Rfam family "Bacterial small subunit ribosomal RNA", at positions 524 to 776 of the family's 1533-position model. The record is from RNAcentral.